GUCCAGGGAUGGGAAACGAACCCACAGUGUUCCGCUUACCGGGCAGAUGCCAUGUCCACUAGGCUUCCCAUCCCUGGA
RNAcentral lists this transfer RNA (78 nucleotides) under Cordylochernes scorpioides. Its description in RNAcentral is "tRNA-Thr". Lineage: Eukaryota; Metazoa; Arthropoda; Arachnida; Pseudoscorpiones; Chernetidae. The record is from RNAcentral.